This 253-nucleotide ribosomal RNA is filed under the name uncultured bacterium. RNAcentral's name for it is "partial 16S ribosomal RNA". It matches the Rfam family "Bacterial small subunit ribosomal RNA", at positions 524 to 776 of the family's 1533-position model. The record is from RNAcentral.
UACGUAGGGUGCAAGCGUUAAUCGGAAUUACUGGGCGUAAAGCGUGCGCAGGCGGUUGUGCAAGACCGAUGUGAAAUCCCCGGGCUUAACCUGGGAAUGGCAUUUGGGACUGCAAGGCUUGAGUGCGGCAGAGGAGACUGGAAUUCCUGGUGUAGCAGUGAAAUGCGUAGAUAUCAGGAGGAACACCGAUGGCGAAGGCAGGUCUCUGGGCUGACACUGACGCUCAUGCACGAAAGCGUGGGGAGCAAACAGG